UAUAAAAAUGACAUUUUAUAUACGCAUACAUACAUGCAAACAGUUCUCUCUCUCUUUUUUUUUAGAUGGUUCUUGCUAUGUUUCUCAUAUUGGCCUUGAACUCCUGGGCUUAAGGGAUCCUUCUGCAUCAGCCACCCAAGUACUGGGACUAUAGGUGCAUGCUACCACAACCCAUUCUAGUUUUAUAUCUUAAUAUUGUUUUCUUCAUAGCAACAUUGAGAACUGUUCCCAUAUCCUUCUGCCAUCAUAUAUUGUCAAUGUCCCCCACAUUUGUCAUAAUCAAUAAACUUACAUUGACACAUCA
Marmota flaviventris (yellow-bellied marmot) is the source of this 304-nucleotide long non-coding RNA. RefSeq lists it as uncharacterized. Lineage: Eukaryota; Metazoa; Chordata; Mammalia; Rodentia; Sciuridae. The record is from RefSeq and is a predicted model, not a curated record.